RNAcentral lists this transfer RNA (70 nucleotides) under Scopus umbretta (hamerkop). RNAcentral's name for it is "tRNA-Phe". It matches the Rfam family "tRNA". From Rfam's summary of the family: Transfer RNA (tRNA) molecules are approximately 80 nucleotides in length. Their secondary structure includes four short double-helical elements and three loops (D, anti-codon, and T loops). Further hydrogen bonds mediate the characteristic L-shaped molecular structure. tRNAs have two regions of fundamental functional importance: the anti-codon, which is responsible for specific mRNA codon recognition, and the 3' end, to which the tRNAs corresponding amino acid is attached (by aminoacyl-tRNA synthetases). tRNAs cope with the degeneracy of the genetic code in two manners: having more than one tRNA (with a specific anti-codon) for a particular amino acid; and 'wobble' base-pairing, i.e. permitting non-standard base-pairing at the 3rd anti-codon position. Lineage: Eukaryota; Metazoa; Chordata; Aves; Pelecaniformes; Scopidae. RNAcentral also lists the same sequence under 2 other names. The record is from RNAcentral.
GUCUUUGUAGCUUAAUAACAAAGCAUGGCACUGAAGAUGCCAAGAUGUUGUUGUACCACACCCGAAGACA